UGUUCAAAGCUUCAGAUCUUCUGUAAAAAGAUACUCGGGGUUUUCGCUUGAUUAGCCUUUUCUUCAGUAAAGGACUAAUGACUUCUGACCAAAAGAACAAACAUGUCUGCUCAGCAAAGUCGGAAGCUGAGAUGAAACUUAGGCGACAUGAAACGUAUAGACUAAUAUUUGCCGGAAAAAAAGAAGCACUAUUACUACAACGACGAACAAAAAGACAAGAGUCAAAAAAAAGGUAUUUGUCCGACAAUGAUGGUUUCCAUGGCACUACUGAAGCUGCAUUUGAGUUUCAGCAACAAAUUGUUCCUCUGGUGGGCUCUUCAGCAACAGGUUAGAAUACAUCUUUUGUUCUUUUACUUUUUGUAGAAGUGUCGCUUCACGGUCUUUGCAUGUGAGUUUAAUUAAAUGAUGCUAAUUGUGUGAUGUUUCCCCUAUUAGCCAACGAGCCUCACGUUGAUGCUUUGCCGGUUACAAUUGAAAAGCAAAAGAAUAUAACUUAUCCCUUCUACUCCUUUGAAAUAGGCAAGUAUCAAGGAUACAACAUUGAGUUAUAUAUCUACGAUACAUAACGUCUUUA
Long non-coding RNA from Nicotiana attenuata, 574 nucleotides. RefSeq lists it as uncharacterized. The transcript is spliced from 2 exons. NCBI's taxonomy places the organism in Eukaryota, Viridiplantae, Streptophyta, Magnoliopsida, Solanales, Solanaceae. The record is from RefSeq and is a predicted model, not a curated record.